Molecule: non-coding RNA, 72 nt
Organism: Ictidomys tridecemlineatus (thirteen-lined ground squirrel)
Lineage: Eukaryota; Metazoa; Chordata; Mammalia; Rodentia; Sciuridae
Source: Rfam
GGGGAUAUAGCUCAGUUGGUAGAGUGCUUGCCUGGCAUGCACAGACCCUGGGUUCAAUCCCCAGCACCCCCC